GUCGUGGAUGAGAUGAUGGGAUCUUUUUGAUUAUAUCAAAGUGCAGCACUUAGAGGAAAAAGAGAGGAAGAAAAGAAACGUUUUAUUGAAUAUUAAUCCAAAAAUAAGAGGGAGUUGGGUCCUACAAUUCCGCCAUGGGAGAGCUGAGUUGAAACAAGCGAAAGCAUGACGAAACUCAUAGGCAUAUAUAGAGUCAUAAUAUUGAUAACAGAUAAGGGCAUGCAAAUUUGGGUUAUUGAGAAGGACACGUGGAGGAAAAAGGAUAGGAUCCACGUGUGUUUUUCGUGACCCUACGAUAUGAUUUCAUGGCUUGUUAACAUCAAACUUCUUACCUAUGAUUUGUUUACAUACAAUAUAAUUAAAUAAUUAAAAUAAAUUUCUUAUCGACUAAAUUUUUAGAUGAAAUAAUGAACCUACGAUAUGAUUUCAUGGCUUGUUAACAUCAAAC
RNAcentral lists this long non-coding RNA (448 nucleotides) under Nicotiana tabacum (common tobacco). RNAcentral's name for it is "long non-coding RNA (NTAB_LNC006851)". Lineage: Eukaryota; Viridiplantae; Streptophyta; Magnoliopsida; Solanales; Solanaceae. The record is from RNAcentral.